AGAGCGAACGCUGGCGGCAGGCCUAACACAUGCAAGUCGAGCGCCCGUAGCAAUACGGGAGCGGCAGACGGGAUAGUAACACGUGGGAACGCGCCCUUCGGUUCGGAAUAACUCAGGGAAACUUGAGCUAAUACCGGAUACGCCCUUACGGGGAAAGAUUUAUUGCCGAAGGAACGGCCCGCGUCCGAUUAGCUAGUUGGUGAGGUAAUGGCUCACCAAGGCGACGAUCGGUAGCUGGUCUGAGAGGAUGACCAGCAUCACUGGGACUGAGACACGGCCCAGACUCCUACGGGAGGCAGCAGUGGGGAAUAUUGGACAAUGGGCGCAAGCCUGAUCCAGCCAUGCCGCGUGGAUGAUGAAGGCCUUAGGGUUGUAAAGUCCUUUUAACGGGGAAGAUAAUGACGGUACCGUAGAAUAAGCCCCGGCUAACUUCGUGCCAGCAGCCGC
RNAcentral lists this ribosomal RNA (447 nucleotides) under uncultured bacterium. RNAcentral describes it as "SSU rRNA". It matches the Rfam family "Bacterial small subunit ribosomal RNA", at positions 26 to 518 of the family's 1533-position model. The record is from RNAcentral.